AAUGAACGUUGGCGGCGUGGAUUAGGCAUGCAAGUCGAGCGAGAAGCCUCCUUCGGGGGGCGGACAGCGGCGAAAGGGAGAGUAACGCGUGGACAACCUACCCCGAGGUCCGGGAUAGCCGCGGGAAACUGCGGGUAAUACCGGACGAAGUCUUCGGACCAAAGGUGUGAUUCCGCCUCGGGACGGGUCCGCGUCCUAUUAGCUUGUUGGUAGGGUAACGGCCUACCAAGGCUACGAUGGGUACCGGGUGUGAGAGCAUGACCCGGCUCACUGGGACUGAGACACUGCCCAGACACCUACGGGAGGCUG
This 309-nucleotide ribosomal RNA is filed under the name uncultured Planctomycetota bacterium. RNAcentral's name for it is "bacterial SSU rRNA". It matches the Rfam family "Bacterial small subunit ribosomal RNA", at positions 28 to 351 of the family's 1533-position model. Lineage: Bacteria; Pseudomonadati; Planctomycetota. The record is from RNAcentral.